CCGACAAAGCGCCCUUGUCCGAGUAGGUGCGCAGCUGGUACACCUCGCGCUCACGGGCCACCUUCUGCUCCAGUUGCUCCACCUCUUCCCUGGGAGUGAUUUAUUCCAAGCAAGCCUCUGAAUCCGAUGGAGAUGCUGUCGCAUGAACGAUGUGUAUGGGAGACGUGGAACCGGAUCCAACUGCUUUAGGACAUCUGACAUUGUGCUUAUGACGCUGCUUGAUAACACAGCCUAUUGGAGCUGAAUAAAGUAUCAAUUAAUUUAUUGCUUGGUUGUUCAUCGGAUGGAGAGGACGAGAUGGAACCAGACACCACUGCCACCUCUUCGGACCCCCUGGAGAACCUUACCACCGUCUCCGAAAUGUGACCUGGCUCAUCUGGACACCACGUUUCGGCAAGUGGACCCAUUUUACAACU
Molecule: long non-coding RNA, 416 nt
Organism: Dermacentor andersoni
Lineage: Eukaryota; Metazoa; Arthropoda; Arachnida; Ixodida; Ixodidae
Source: RefSeq, a predicted model, not a curated record